Non-coding RNA from Nicotiana tabacum (common tobacco), 450 nucleotides. The record is from RefSeq and is a predicted model, not a curated record. Lineage: Eukaryota; Viridiplantae; Streptophyta; Magnoliopsida; Solanales; Solanaceae.
AUUGCUAGUAGUAGCUCAUUGUGCUUCUGGUGCAGUAAAACAGAUCAAGAAAGCGGAGAGCAAUGGCGGAAGUGCAGAGAAGGGGAAGACCGUUGCCUCCUCCUCCGGCGAGAGUCCCACCGGGUCCUCCUCCCCUCAGAAUGGGCCCUCGGGUCCAACCCGUUGACCGUGAAAAGACUUGUCCACUCUUGCUUCGCGUUUUCACCAAGGUUUUGCAUUCUGGAAGUAGUCUCUUGUACUCUCCAGUGUUGUCAAAGGCUCAUUUAAGGCGCGCUUAAGCCCCGAAGCUCAUAAAUGCUACUGAUGGUGUUUCGCCUCGCUUAAGCUAUGUUUCGGUGUAGGGAAUGCACUAAGGCGUGGGCACUCAUUGCCAGUGAGUUCUAUCUUGAAUGGAGCAGUACUAAACAACAAAUAUAACCUGCACAUAAGUGUAUUAGUUGUUGAGGAAAA